GUCUGUCCCUUUUCACAUUGGGGCAGGACAGGUCACCUGAAGAGGGGGAUGAUAGUUUUCAGGGCCAGUGAUGAAGUGUGCAGGUGUCCUACUGUUGAACUUGCACAACCUGGAUGACCAGUAAACAAGGAAUUACUUGGAUUAGCCCCAUCCUCUGGUCUCCCAGGGAAACUGGGAAUGAGUCACCUGGUGACGCAGCCAGAGGAGAUAAAAUCAUGAGGACAUUUUUUUUUUUUUUAAAAAGCGGCAGCUGUUUCAUGCCGGGAAAGAAGAAGAAGAGGAAGAGGAGAAAGAAGGGGAGGAAGCAGCAGCAGCAGAUUCCUCUCUGAUGCAUGUUUACUAUCAGCGCAGAACCCAUGAGGAGCGGAGUCCCUGUAGCUCUGAGCAGCUGUUGUCCUUGCUGCUGUUGGAGCUGCUGGAGGGGGCAGGCAGCCGUGCUGACAGAUGUAUGUGGCACUGUGGGUCUUUCCUUCACAAGGGGCAGAACCUAUGUUCAUAUGGCAGUGCCCAGUGGACUUCAAACCCUGCCAACCUGCAUGUGUUCCAGUGCUGGACAGACGCAGCAGUGUUCCUGUCCUGCUCCGAUGGAGUAAAUGGGGGUGUGUUUCUAAA
This 612-nucleotide long non-coding RNA is filed under the name Rattus norvegicus (Norway rat). RNAcentral describes it as "long non-coding RNA NONRATT026996". Lineage: Eukaryota; Metazoa; Chordata; Mammalia; Rodentia; Muridae. The record is from RNAcentral.